Molecule: ribosomal RNA, 497 nt
Filed under: uncultured bacterium
Lineage: Bacteria
Description: partial 16S ribosomal RNA
Rfam family: Bacterial small subunit ribosomal RNA
Source: RNAcentral
GAUGAACGCUGGCGGCGUGCCUAAUACAUGCAAGUCGAGCGAACAGACGAGGAGCUUGCUCCUCUGACGUUGGCGGCGGACGGGUGAGUAACACGUGGAUAACCUACCUAUAAGACUGGGAUAACUUCGGGAAACCGGAGCUAAUACCGGAUAAUAUAUUGAACCGCAUGGUUCAAUAGUGAAAGACGGUUUUGCUGUCACUUAUAGAUGGAUCCGCGCCGCAUUAGCUAGUUGGUAAGGUAACGGCUUACCAAGGCGACGAUGCGUAGCCGACCUGAGAGGGUGAUCGGCCACACUGGAACUGAGACACGGUCCAGACUCCUACGGGAGGCAGCAGUAGGGAAUCUUCCGCAAUGGGCGAAAGCCUGACGGAGCAACGCCGCGUGAGUGAUGAAGGUCUUCGGAUCGUAAAACUCUGUUAUUAGGGAAGAACAAAUGUGUAAGUAACUAUGCACGUCUUGACGAUACCUAAUCAGAAAGCCACGGCUAACUACGUG